Molecule: ribosomal RNA, 232 nt
Filed under: uncultured Enterobacterales bacterium
Lineage: Bacteria; Pseudomonadati; Pseudomonadota; Gammaproteobacteria; Enterobacterales
Description: partial 16S ribosomal RNA
Rfam family: Bacterial small subunit ribosomal RNA
Source: RNAcentral
CGGACGGGUGAGUAAUGUCUAGGAAACUGCCUGAUGGAGGGGGAUAACUACUGGAAACGGUAGCUAAUACCGCAUAACGUCGCAAGACAAAAGAGGGGGACCUUCGGGCCUCUUGCCAUCAGAUGUGCCCAGAUGGGAUUAGCUAGUAGGUGGGGUAACGGCUCACCUAGGCGACGAUCCCUAGCUGGUCUGAGAGGAUGACCAGCCACACUGGAACUGAGACACGGUCCAG